RNA transcript from Anopheles bellator, 2268 nucleotides. It is a transcript of the gene named pleckstrin homology domain-containing family F member 1 homolog, with no coding region annotated. The transcript is spliced from 8 exons. NCBI's taxonomy places the organism in Eukaryota, Metazoa, Arthropoda, Insecta, Diptera, Culicidae. The record is from RefSeq and is a predicted model, not a curated record.
CAAAAUUGUCGCGACAAGCAUUAUUUUCUGCGUAAAAGUGACGAUACAAAACCGAAAAGAUUAAAUAAAACGAUUAGUUUAUAAUUGCACAGUAUCUUAAUUAUAAGGAGGUUUUGUUAUCGUAAGAGUUAACAGAGCAGCAUUCUAGGACACUAGGACACGAUAUCGAACGAGAAAACAACAAAUUAGUUGAAAGUUUUGUUGAACGAGGGAAGAUGGUGGACAAGUUGGUAAACAGCGAGGCAAAUGCCCGUAGGAUACAAAUGGUGGAGAACUGCUUUGGGGCAUCCGGUCAGCCGUUGUUCCUGCCUGGUCGAGUUCUGGUUGGCGAAGGAGUACUAACAAAAAUGUGUCGAAAGCGACCUAAGGCACGCCAGUUUUUUCUCUUCAACGACAUCCUUGUCUAUGGCAAUAUAGUUAUUGGUAAGAAAAAGUACAACAAACAACAUCUUAUACCUCUAGAAGAAGUUCAGCUACAAGCCCUUGAUGAUAACGGUCAGUAUCGAAACGGAUGGCUGAUACGGACAGCGACUAAGUCUUUUGCGGUAUAUGCUGCAACACAAACCGAAAAACAAGAAUGGAUGGCUCACAUCAACAAAUGUAUAGAAGAUUUGUUACGCAAAAGUGGUAAAAAGCCUGUUGAAACGCAUGCCGCUGUUUGGGUUCCGGAUAGUGAAGCCACUAUUUGCAUGCACUGUAAAAAGACUCAGUUCACUAUGAUUAAUAGAAGGCACCACUGCCGGAAUUGUGGUGCAGUAGUUUGCGGUCCAUGUUCGUCCAAAAAAUUUUUGCUACCAGGACAAAGUAGUAAACCGCUGCGUGUCUGCUUAGACUGCUAUGAUAAUCUCACUUCUAUGAAACGAGACGGGAAUAAAACGCUUUUGGCAAAUAACAAUAAAUCGGCCAACUCUCCUGAAAGUUCCGGUGAAGAUGAUUCCGGUGAUGAGGAAGAGGCUGCGAAAGACAACAAUACACAUGAUGAAAGAUUCACAAGUCAUUUUACAUCAACAACAGUCAUAUGUGUGUAACAGAGUAAAAUCAGAUCGAUCAACAGGCGAAGUAUGCUGAUCAUAAUCAAAUGAAUAGCUGAGAUUGCUAGAUUUUCGGUUCCUCCUUUAUGCUUAACUUCUAACAUGGGACGACUUUCAAUUAUAUAAUUCAUUCUAAUAUCAUAUUUCUAGCCUAAGUUCUACAGUGAUGAUAAACCAGAGAAAUAAUAAUACCAGCAAGGAAAAUGUCUAGUACGACACUAAAAAUUCAAUUACCGGAAAUAUGAACUAUACCGAUAGCACAUUUUUGGGUUUAAAAUAUACCAAUCAAUUUUAAUUCACACAUAAUGUUAAUGUCGUGCUGAUUUCAAACUAUGUCUGCUAUAUUCAUUACAACAAGGAUUAGAAAGGGUUUAUAUGACGAUAGAAAAGGCAUAGGCGUAAGAUUUUAUCUCAAUUCUCUUCAGCGCUCGUACUCGGAAUGUCAAAAGAGAAGCAGAAACCAGUUUAUUUUUAAUUGAUUGCAUAAAUAACUUUAUCACAUUCAUAAAUUUACAUUUAUCUUAUUGCUGUUAAAACAUCAAAAUUAGCUAACUGCGUUUUUUAAAUUUGUUAUACAUAUGCAUUUUAGUUGAAAUUACUGACCGAGCAGUAUGGUUUAGUAAUUCCUUUUUCGUUUUCUUGCAAUCUUAUGUUUUCUUGUAUCCUUAAUAUAACAAACUUCAGUCGUUUGAUCUAAUAAUUUUGAAUUCAUACUUUCGUUAUACUGAAUAUAGCUAGCAAUACGUGAAAGCUGAGAAUCUAUAAAGAACUAAACGAAUAAUUUAAUAAAAAUCAGCAAAACGUUGAAGAGCUUUGCCAAAAACGUAGCAAAAAGAUGCAGCGACCAUCGAAUCAAAUCAAAUCAUCGGGACUCGUUCAGUUCUAAUUGAGAAAUUAGGAAAAUUUACAAGAAAAAAGGUAACAAGCGAAUGUUUGAAAACUUGUAAGUAACUACAGUUAUUGAUUUGAUAUUGUACCCGGCUUCGUACCUCCUAACUGCUGUUACCUGUUAUUUCUGCUUAACUAAGUCUAUUAUUAGAGUCGGAAAGCAAUCGUUGAAAAGAUUAUACUUAAUAUAACAUCCAACAACGGCUACAUAGUGACGAAAAACAACAAACAUAGAGGAGAAUAUCCUUGGCGGAAGUGGUAGAGUAUGAAAAAACAACAUGUUUUGUGUUCUAUACUUUUUAUUAUAUUUAAAACUUGAUCAUAAACUAUACAAUAUUUCGGAAAUUGA